CAGGAAGAGUGAAAUGGAGAGAGAGAGAGUAAGAACUAGAGAAAGAGGGAGGCAGGAAUAGUGAAAUGGAGAGAGAGAGAGUAAGAACUAGAGAAAGAGGGAGGCAGGAAUAGUGAAAUGGAGAGAGAGAGAGAAAAAGAACUAGAGAAAGAGAGAGACAGGAAUAGUGAAAUGGAGAGAAAGAGAGUAAGAACUAGAGAAAGAGAGAGACAGGAAUAGUGAAAUGGAGAGAGAGAGAGAGAGAGAGAGAGAGAGAGUAAGAACUAGAGAAAGAGAGAGACAGGAAUAGUGAAAUGGAGAGAGAGAGAGAGUAAGAACUAGAGAAAGAGAGAGACAGGAAUUGUGAAAUGGAGAGAGAGAGAGAGAGAGAAAGAACUAGAGAAAGAGAGAGACAGGAAUAGUGAAAUGGAGAGAGAGAGAGUAAGAACUAGAGAAAGAGGGAGGCAGGAAUAGUGAAAUGGAGAGAGAGAGAGAGUAAGAACUAGAGAAAGAGAGAGACAGGAAGAGUGAAAAGGAGAGAGAGUAAGAACUAGAGAAAGAGAGAGACAGGAAUAGUGAAAUGGAGAGAGAGAGAGUAAGAACUAGAGAAAGAGAGAGACAGGAAGAGUGAAAAGGAGAGAGAGUAAGAACUAGAGAAAGAGAGAGACAGGAAGA
Long non-coding RNA from Oncorhynchus tshawytscha (Chinook salmon), 654 nucleotides. The record is from Ensembl. NCBI's taxonomy places the organism in Eukaryota, Metazoa, Chordata, Actinopteri, Salmoniformes, Salmonidae.